Molecule: long non-coding RNA, 4494 nt
Organism: Trachemys scripta elegans
Lineage: Eukaryota; Metazoa; Chordata; Testudines; Emydidae
Exons: 4
Source: RefSeq, a predicted model, not a curated record
AUGUGCAUUGAGUGCAGUUGGUGCAAAGAUGUGCGUCUGCUCUACACAGGAAAAAAAGAAAAAAGAAAAAAAAUUCCAUCUGUCUGUAUUUGAAAUCAGCUCGCCAGCCUGUAGUUGGUCGAACCCCACCCAGAUGGUGCUGCGCAAAUGUAUGUUAAAAGAUAUCUUAUAUUAGUGUUGUGGGUGUCCAAUUUUUUUUGAAUGCCAUUUAGCCAAUGUGCCCAACCUGCUGCACAGAGAAAUCGUGACAAAAUAAAGAUAUGCUGAAGAGUUUCUAUUUCAAGGGCCAGAUCCUGCAAACAGUUCUGGAUGGCAAAUAACUCAAGCUAUGACUGUUCUGUGUUAACAGUGAGCAUACAACAAUCAUUACCAUACCAGAGCCAACUUUUGCCCCAGCUACCACAUACUGUCAUGGGUGAGUGUGUCUCAGUAUGCAUAUUACAAGACAAGCACUGUGUUCAGAUGGAGUGGAGAGUACAUAUGCACAGAUGACUUUGAUCUUUGGGGAUUUUUGUUUGCUGGUGGGUGUAACCGAGCGCAGCUGGCUCUCCUGGCCCCUGCCUCUGCUAGGCCCAGAUAAAGUCACUCAGAGACCCUCUAGUUCUGAAACCACUGGUGCUUUUAUUUACAAGUCUGGGUUCCCACCACCUUCUCACCAUACUGUGAACACAGCUCUGGGUUCCUUGUGUCUGAACCCAGGAGGGAAGGAUUUUCUCUCUGCCUGCACUCCCUCGCUCUCCUCUGUCCCACCCCUCCCUCUUCCUUCUUCCCAGCCUCUUUUAUAGCCCUGGGCUAAUUGGACUGGCAGCUGGCUCUCUUUCCCCAUUAGGGCAGGUUCUUUCCAGCCAGUGCCACUUUAUUCACUUAAAUGGGGCUGGCGUGGCAGGGGGCUGAUUCUACAUUCUUGCUGCUCAGCACCCUGUCACAGUAGGACACACAAAUCUUGAGAACUGCCAAGUUAAACAUUAGGCUGCCUGGGGAGGCCUAGAGAGGAGUAAUAGUCCAGCAGCAGUAUAUGCAUUAAACAUUUAUGCAUUCCAAAUCAAAAAACUAUGUUACAAUGGAGUUGAUUGACUGUACAUAUUGGUAACCUCAGUGUAAAAUACAUUACAGGUAUGUUGCAAUUAUCCUCAAGACCUGGAAGUUCAGAACUCAGGUUACACUUAAAAGAAAUCAAAACAUGUUAAGACAUGGAAAUGCACAAUUAAGACAUCCAAACAACCUUAACUCUGCCCUGCAGUGACCCCACGCAAUAACGGUAUGACGGUGAUUAAGAUGUAUUGUGGUUCAAGAGUAGAUUAAAAUGAUUUUUAAAGACACUUUAUGGUUUUCUUAAAAAUAUUUUUACUCCUUCUGAUGUCACUACAGUGCAGAUCCUACAGCCAAACAUAUCUGAACUUUGGAGUAUUCAAAAUCUAGAUUUGGAUCCAGAUCUAAAUGUUGUGGUUACAGCUGUUUCCGUAAACUGCAAAUGAUUCGUAUUUAAGAAAUAACACAAAACCAGCAGCUAGGGUAGGCAUAUAUUGCAAGGAGAGGCCUAUUCUUUUCCUCUUCUUAACUCCAUGAUUAGAAGUUGGGAAGAGUAGUGUCCUUUGCAGCAUAAGUCAUGAACAAAGCCAAACACUAGAGAACUUAUUUGUGUCCAUUUUCAAACCAAUCAUCUCUAUGAUAAACUCCUCCAAAACCUCAUUAGACUAUCUGUCCUAUGAAGACAUAUGUGGAUUUCACCACUCUAAUGCAAUUACUAUAUGGGAUUGUAACAGGGCAGCUGCUGUUUAUGGUGCAUUAGGGCCCAGUCUGCCCAUGACUGCCUUAUGAAGGCCCCACCUAUGGGUAAUUGACUGCCCCAGGGUCUGAUUAGUAAACAAGCACCUGGAUCGAAUACAGGUUACCCAAGCUCAGUCAUUGGGGAAUGUUCAAGGGAGACAGAAGGUUCCAUAGAGAGGAACUCCCCAGAAAGGUCAGAGCCCAAGGGCUGAGCAAGGAGCCUAGAAGGUGAGCUCUGCAGGGAACCCGCUGGAAUGGGGAGCCUGAAAGAGGUGCUCAUAGAGAGGGGAGCCUGCUAGAUGGAAGGCUGCAGUUUCAGUCUAGGAGUAUGGAAGGGUGGUUCGCAGAUAUGAGCUGGAAGCCUGGUAUGGCAAGGAUCACCUGCUCUCCCUGGAGAAGAGUUGCAGUGGAUGGACACCUCUGGAAGCCUGACUCCAGAGAAGACUCAUACUCCAGUAGAGACAUGAGGCCUGAUACCAGGGUAGAGUCCAAGAGCUGAGAGAACUCCUGUGGAGAGCCUGGAUAGAGGCAAACACUGGAUUCAGAUUUCCAUGACUCUGCUCCAUGAUGCUGGACAGGAGGACAGCCAUGAUGCUGGUGUUAACAAAAAUAUAUAUUCUGUCCUACAUUUGUCAACUGGCGUUUGCUUUGCACAUGAAAACACAUGUUGAAGUCUCUAAUGAGCUGCUGAUGGGUAAGAACAAAUAGCUUGGGAAAAAAGUGCUUUGGCUCUUUCCACAUAAAGACACUGAUGUCCUAAGUUAACAUCAAGCUAAUAAUAUGUUUUAAAGCUCAGAGCUAAAGCACACAUGAAGUUGUAUGUGCCAGUGCUGCUGUGGAUGCAAUUAGUGUAAAUGGGAUUUGGCCUAUCAGAUUUCAUACAGUCAAGUUCUGUAACCACCUGGCCACAUCAUAUAUGCUAAUCCUUUUCUCUUAAUAAGAAAAGGGUUUACGGUGGAAUUGAAUUGAAACAGAUAAAAUAUAUACCAAUCUGCUGCAGUAGAACACUUUGGAGUUUUGGAGAUUGGUUUUUGAAGGGUCAAUUCUAAUCAAAUUUGGUGAAAAACUUGUUGGAUUUAUACUAAUAUUUAAUAUAUGAAUUUUGUAUUAUUUGGGUGUUUGUUCACAUGCUGAGAUGCUCCAGUCAGAAGAAGAAUUAUUGCUAGCUGCAUUUCCAAACCAGUUUCAGUUAUACUUUAUGGUCUUCACAAAUGCCCAGCUUCAAGCUUUUUUUUUCUUUUGGGUUGGUUAGUGCAUCAUGUUUUUCUCAUCCUUUACUAGAUGCAGCCAAAAAGAGGGUUCAAUUUUAUAGCCGCAGCACUCUGUGAUUCAUGGAAAUGUGAAUUUUUUCAAAAGAAAAGAUAAAUGAAGGAAUGAAAUGGUUGAAAGUUCCUCCUUCAAUAGUUUAUAAGUUUUGUAUUAACAGCUAGAACUAUGAAUUUUUUUAUUGCAUAUGAUGUUCUAACUAAAAGCUUAGAAACAUAUCCGCCAUGUAUGCUUGUGUGUUUAUUUCUUUGGGGCUCUGCUUUGGAUCUCAGAGAGAUGGUAUAAUCCAUAGACUGUUCAGUUGACUAUGGCAAAUUGUCCCUUAUUGAAUAAUAGAGGCUCCUUUCUUCAGAAAUUUCCAUAGGACGGGAUCAAGAAGGAUGGCUAGGAACACUCCAUGAGGAUUCCCCUUGUGAGUUUUCCCCAAUCUCUCUGUUUAAGGAAGAGUUUUGUUGCAUGGUUUUCUCCCAACUUUGUGAAUCACUGAGAGGACAGGUCCGGUGUCAGCUUUUGGGCUCUCCUGAGCAUCCUGACAAUGCAACUCCACCAGUAAUUUUGAAGUCAAUGGAGCAAUGCUGACUUACACCAGUUGAGGAUCUGGUGAAAUAUAUAUAACUUUACACUGUCUGUACAAUAUGGGCAAGUUAAUGGCAUGCUGAGAAGAUGAACUUUAGAUAUAUAUUUAGAUUCACAACUGCAACAUUGUUUCAAAGUUGAUCUUUUUGUAUUUAAGUGGAGCUGAGUUUGCCACUUACUUUUUUCCCCCUGAACACUUGAAUCUUCUCAUCCUCUUUGCUAGAAUGCAGUGGAAUGUUUACUUUCUCAUUUUGUAACUCUCUCAUCUUGUGUAACAGUUGUGCUAGGGCAGUACUUGCUAUCUAGUUCUUUACUGAACUGCCACUUUUCUGUUUGGCCUUUGUUAAAAUUUCUGAUAAAUAACUGGCUGUCUACAGCUGUUCAAAUCAUGUUGCUUUUUUCUAAGUGUCAUCUUAGUGGUUGUUCUCACCAAUAUGGGCUUUACUUCAAAAGGAAAAUAAGGUACAAUAGGGCUUGUUGUUGAGUAAAACUGAACACGUGGGCAGUGGGAAAAGAAUCUGAAAAGCGAAUUGCACAGGUUUAAUACACCAGCCAUUCACCUCUCACUGUGACGAAGGCCCUACAGAAUUUUGGCAAUAUCACGGUCUACAAUUUACUUUAAAUAACUGUUCUUUGUUUUCUAUAGUUGGUGUUAUUUCUUCACGUUUUCUCAUUUGAAGCUAAUCCACAGCUAAGAAACAAUUAGCAUGCUUGUGCAUGUUAGUGUUAACUGGGCUUUAGGUUUUUGAAAUAGCAUUAGCUAUACUCUUGCUAUGAAACUGACCACAUAGGAGGCCAAUUAAUAUACUACUUUGUUGUUAAAGGCACUAAAAUAAUCAUAAAUUUACUUUCAUAUGAUUUAUAUUAAUCAAUGGUCUAGUCUAU